RNAcentral lists this ribosomal RNA (256 nucleotides) under uncultured bacterium. RNAcentral's name for it is "partial 16S ribosomal RNA". It matches the Rfam family "Bacterial small subunit ribosomal RNA", at positions 524 to 777 of the family's 1533-position model. The record is from RNAcentral.
UACGGAGGGAGCUAGCGUUAUUCGGAAUUACUGGGCGUAAAGGGUGCGUAGGCGGGUCUUUUAAGUCAGGGGUGAAAUCCUGGAGCUCAACUCCAGAACUGCCCUUUGAUACUGAAGAUCUUGAGUUCGGGAGAGGUGAGUGGAACUGCGAGUGUAGAGGUGAAAUUCGUAGAUAUUCGCAAGAACACCAGUGGCGAAGGCGGCUCACUGGCCCGAUACUGACGCUGAGGCACGAAAGCGUGGGGAGCAAACAGGG